AACUUUUAACAAUGGAUCUCUUGGCUCUCGCAUCGAUGAAGAACGCAGCGAAAUGCGAGAAGUAAUGUGAAUUGCAGAAUUCAGUGAAUCAUCGAAGCUUUGAACGCACCUUGCGCUCCUUGGUAUUCCGAGGAGCAUGCCUGUUUGAGGGUCAUGGUAUUCUCAAUCCACUCUCAUUUUUUAUGAGGGCGGUAUUGGAUGUGGAGGCUUUUUGUCGGAGAGCUUUGAUUCCCCGACUCCUCCCAAAUACAUCAGUGCGGAUGUGCAUUGUGUCGUCCCUCAGCGUGAUAGCUAUCUACGCUCGGGCUCGGCUUGUGCAGUUGAUGUCUGUGCUUCCAACCGUCCCCUCCAGGACACUGCCAUUGAACAUCUGACCUCAAAUCAGGUAGGACUACCCGCUGAACUUAAGCAUAUCAAUAAGCGGAGGCU
This 429-nucleotide unclassified non-coding RNA is filed under the name uncultured Agaricomycetes. Its description in RNAcentral is "sequence contains ITS2". The stretch from base 1 to 154 matches the Rfam family "5.8S ribosomal RNA". The record is from RNAcentral. Lineage: Eukaryota; Fungi; Basidiomycota; Agaricomycetes.